GCAGUCGAACGAUGAACCCUUCUGGGUGGAUUAAUGAGUAACGGGUGAGUGACACAUGGGCAAUCUGCCCUGCACUCUGGGACAAGCCCUGGAAACGGGGUCUAAUACCGGAUGACACUUCCUUCCGCAUGGGAGGAGGUUGAAAGCUCCCUUGUGCUCCGAUGAGCCCGCGGCCUAUCAUCUUGUUGGUGGGGUGAUGGCCUACCAAGGCGACAAAGGUAGCCGGCCUGAGAGGGCGACCGGCCACACUGGGACUGAAAACGGCCCAAACUCCUACGGGAGGCAGCAGUGGGGAAUAUUGCACAAUGGGCGAAAGCCUGAUGCCCCGACGCGCCGUGAGGGAUGACGGCCUUCGGGUUGUAAACCUCUUUCUUCAGGGAAAAAACGAAAGUGACGGUACCUGCCUAAGAAGCGCCGGCUAACUACAUGCCAACCGCCGCGGUAAUACGUACGGCGCACCCGUUGUCCGGAAUUAUUGGGCGUAAAGAGCUCAUAUGCGGCUUGUCACGUCUGAGGUGAAAGCCCUGGGCUUAUCCCCGGAUCUGCAUUCGAUACGGGCGGGCUAUACUGUGGAAAGGGAGAUCGUAAUUCCUGGUGUAGCGGUGAAAUGCUCCGAUUUCAGGAGGAACACGCGUAGAGAUGGCGGAUAUCUGGGCCAUUACUGACGCUCACGAGCGAAAACAUGGGGAGUCAACAGGAAUAG
This 703-nucleotide ribosomal RNA is filed under the name Streptomyces sp. Its description in RNAcentral is "bacterial SSU rRNA". It matches the Rfam family "Bacterial small subunit ribosomal RNA", at positions 57 to 781 of the family's 1533-position model. Lineage: Bacteria; Bacillati; Actinomycetota; Actinomycetes; Kitasatosporales; Streptomycetaceae. The record is from RNAcentral.